AAGCAAAGACAUUUGAUGCAGUUGGAUGGAGAAACAGAAACUGUUUUCUCCCCCUGCCCACCAUUCUUACUGUUUCACAUACCAGUCUGGGAAAAGUCUCAAGAGGAUUUUAGGUGUAUUUUCGGGGAUCCCAGGUGGGAUUUGAGGGGAUCUGGGUGGGGUUUGUGGGGUGUGGUGGGGGCCCAGGUGAGUUUAGGGGUAAAUUGGUGGAAUUUGGGGGGGUCCAAGGUGGGAGUUGAGGGGGAAUUGCAGGGAUUUUGGGGUGUCCCAGGUGGGAUUUGGGGGUUCUGGUUGGGCUUAGAGGGAGACAUGAGGGAUUUGGAAUCGUCCCUGUGGGGUUUUGGGGUGUCCCAGGUGGGUUUGGAGGAUCUCAGGUGGGGGAUCUGGGAGGCCUGCAUGGAUCUUGGGGUGAAUUUGGGGCGUUUUGGGACGUCCCAGGUGGGAUUUGAGAGGUCCACAUGGAUUUUGGCUGAAUUUAGAACAUUUUGGGGAGUCUCAGGUGAAUUUUGAGAAGCCUUUAGUAGAGUUUCGGCAAAUGACUUGAACUAACUUGACUCUAACACUGCCCGACUUAUGAAUCUGCCCAGCCUUCUGUAGUGUGGUAGAGGUACAGUUGCACUAAAUGAGUUUGGAGGGAUUAUGAAAAUUUUUAUUCAAACCUAUUCAGAAAACUAUGUCAGUUUACUCAACGAGAUGAAUAACAUCUAGCACUUACCUUUACAAUGAAACCAUUCUCUACUAAUGUUGAGGUUCAGAGAAAAGCCUGGACUGGCUUUAUUUUUGGAGGUAAUUUUUUUUUUUUUAAUUUGAGAAAGAGGACCAUCUAGGGGUUAAUGCCGAAAUUAUCAUCUUGUUCGCAAUCAUUAUUGAGCAGGGAAUGAACCCCCCAUGCUAUAAAUGAAAGCAUAUCUUGAAAUCUGACCAUGUACACAAGAUCAGCCAAACUACACAUAAACCCGUCUUUCUUGAGUUAGGCUGGAUAUCCAGGUGUUUAUCAACAGCACAAUUUCCAGUUAGCCCAGUCUCCCAGUUAGCACAUGCUUAUUGGGACAACUUGAUAACAGCAGGGCAACUCAAGCAUAGGCUACAGCUCAGGACUUCAGCCACUCUCCACAAGCCUUUCCGUAGCACACUGUGGAGGCUUUGCACCAGAGCUGGAGCUUGGAUGGAAAAAUACAAGUCAGCCUUGGCAUGGUUACAGCCACCUUUAAAACUAUUCUGUUGAUGGAAGAGGAAGGAUGUCUUCUUGCACUUUUGCUAUUCUUCUUCCAUGAUAGAAAGCUACUGGGCAGCCUUCUGAGAUUUCAGAUGCGCAGAUUCCAAACAGAGCUGGAUAUUUUAGGUAGAGUAAUGUAGUUAGAGCAGGGAAGAUUAAAGCUCAAGAAAAAGAAUCAAGGUUGGAAAUACUUUUGUAUAUCUCUCAGGGAUCUAGCACUUUGACAUUAUUUUCAGAAUGCCAACAUUAGGCCAGCAUAUGCCAGCUUCUGGCACUGGAAUGCAGCAGAAUUUGUAUACAGAGUAGUUGCACUGCCGGCAUGCAGGAUGGAAAUCAGAGCUGCUACAUGCCAUUUGCACGUUUCAUGUACAGUCGCUUUGCCAGGCAAGUCAAAGCGCUCUUUGAACACCGGGCACUUCAAGCAGCAGUUGGGUCUCCAGGCCGUUGAGGACAGGUCAGCAUGCAAGUCUGAACUUUGUCAGGCAAGUCAAAGUGCUCUUUGAACACCGGGUACUUCAAGCAGCAGUUGGGUCUCCAGGCCGUUGCUUUGCCAGGCAAGUCAAAGCGCUCUUUGAACACCGGGCACUUCAAGCAGCAGUUGGGUCUCCAGGCCGUUGAGGACAGGUCAGCAUGCAAGUCUGACAUUUUCUGGUAAGGCAGGCUGCAGGACCAGAUACCGGAGAUCUGCCUACUGGAGAAAGCCCUAAUUAAAUUAAAUUUUGACUUUGUAAAAGCUCCUAAGGUAUAAAACUCAAAAUACUGGUGGGCUGCACCUGAAAAUAAAAGUAGUAUCGAUUAGAAUUUUGACUGGAGGAAGUGAAAAACCAGAAUGUUGUUCAUUCUGGUUAUUACAGAGGGGCAGGUGCAGAUGAGGGUGGCCUUUUACAUGCACACAACCAAAGACAGAUGUCAUACAAGAGUCUUAAACUAAAGCACAGGUUUAGCCCUACUGCACGGCUGAGUUUUUUCACCUGAUGCAAGGCUUUCUUCUACCAUUUCCAGCCCAUUUUUCCAACACAGCAAUUCUCUGGAAGAACAUAGUUUUUCCCACUGGUCUGGGUUACCUAUUGCUGCUCAAGCACAUCUCAAAUACUUCUGAGAAUACUCAGUGAAGGUGAGGAUACUGCAGUAGGGUGACAGUUUUUACAAAAGUGUGCUUUAUGGCUUCAGUAUGCCAUAUUUAUUAACUGUAUGCCUGUGAGACCCUGGUUUUAAUCCCUGAGAUUUAUACAGGUUAUUUAUCCACUCAUAAAUAAUCUGUAAUGAUUCACAUACAGCUAGACAGAUGAACUGAAAUACAGUAAAAGGCAAGCAAGGGGAUCUCUAAUUGCUAUUCAUAACCAGGUCUUGAAACUAGUACAUUUAAUUUGCUUGAAGCUGCGAUCAAGUUAGAGAUGAUGUUCUUUUCUGGCACUGUAGUUGGCAAGUUAUACAUUAGUCAUGGAAGUCAAGAGUACAAAAGUCUCAUUCUCAAAAUAUCCCUUAAACCCUGAUGUCUAAUAUUAGUGAAUGAGAUUUACUCUGGCCUCAGUUCUAGGAUGAUCUGAAAUUGAAAAGGUUUUGAAAUCUGAAAUUUAAGUUUUCAAUAUCUGAAAUUUAGCAAUUAAGCAACAACAUCUCUUACCUUCACUUAUGUUUUAAACCUAUUUUAACUGCUUCUACUUCUUUUGGUUGCUGGAGGUCCAUGUCUGCUUUGCCCACCUUUCUUCAGUCAGGUGUGACUAGAAAGCCCUCACAACCAGGACUUUCACAGGUCUAUUGCCACAAGUGACUGCUCAAGAGCAAUGGGAAGGAAUCAGUCAGGUCAAAGGACCUCAGGACAACUGUCCUCAGGAGGGGCAAUAGCAGGAUCAGCACAUCUCCAGCAGGAUCAGCACAUCUCCAGCAGGAUGCUGCCUGCCUCUGCGCAGACACCGUAGUUUGGUGCAAUGUGCUGGCACAGACAGGAUUUGUGCCAGACCUUAGUGACAAAUGUGACAUCGAGACCUGCAGCCCCCUCUGAGUAGGACAGCCAGGGGAGAGCUCUUUGCAUUGACACAGCCCCACACAGGCCCUGCCAAUUCACAUGGACAUUGUGGAAGGCUGCCAAGAGAACAAUGAGGGUGCUGGCCACCACCUUUAUUUUAAUUGCUGCACAGUGCAUGCCAAGCUGUGCACUUGGAGGUUGUUUCCAUUCCCUCUGCAGUUGCCAGAACUAUUCAUUGUUGUUUCAAUAUAAGGAAAACAAAGUCACAUCUUCUUGUUUUAUAAAAGGAGCUUUGUUGCUUCCCAGACACCCAGUCUCAUUUGUCUGUAAACUGUAGGAUAAAUUCCACUGAUGCCCACUGGAUUAACUGUGCAGUGAGAAUUAGAAGUAUAAAACUAUUUUAAAUGCAUGAAGAUUCAAAGUAAGCAGAAGAACUGCCACAAUGACCAGUAUACUCAGCUAAACCUGCAGACUCAUACUUGGGGUUUGUGUCUGAAGAUCCACUGUUCCUCUCAUCCAUGGCCAACCUUGUCUUCCUCGGUUGUCUCAGCACAACUGUUGCAGGAUUAUGCAAGUGGAGUGGAUCUGAGGCUUUAACCUUCAUGUUUUAACUCAAAUCAGUUUGCUGAUCUGGCUCAUCCCAGUGCCCCACUGACACUGGUAACAGAGCAGCCAAGGUAACAAAAAACAGUGGCUGGGAGAAAAGAAGAGUGAUGGACCUGCUUUGCCAGUGGGAAGAAGUUUCACGGGAUGAUGACGAGAGAGCAAAAUAUACAACAAAAUCUUGCAGAGAGACAUAGGAUUAGCAAAAAUAUAUCAGAGCCAAAAAUUCUUCACAUUAGCAGUAAUAUAAGUUUUCUGAGAGAGGUGCUAUUGAUAUCCUGGGGUCAUAUCCCUGAAUAUCCCUGAUCUUCCUCAACCUUCCCAGGAGGUUUCUUAGGGUUUAGCUCUGCAUCCUCAAUCCACAGAAGUUGUCCAAACUGUGGCCUCAAGCUUUUGCCCCAUCAUCCCAUUACUGCCCCAACAGUACCUUUUGCAGCUGCUUGGGAAUGAGUUAAACAACUCCCCUGUAUUGCCCAUAGUGCAGUGAAAGGUUUAAUCAAUGAUGGUAGCAAAGGGUAAGCAGAGGUUUUGUGCCAUGGCCAAGGGCCUUCCUUUCCCCAUGGGAGAAAGAAAAGCUUCCUUGCAAAGUGCCAGGACUAGAAACUUUCUUAGACCAUUGCACACUGGCAUUCAUAAAACUACUGUAGUGCUGAUCCAGACCUUGGAUCACAGAAAAGAAAUAUCCCAUUGACAUAAGAGGACUGAAGUUUAGCAUAAAGAGAAAAAAAAAAAAAAAAAGAGAAGGGGGGGGGGGGGGGGGGGGGGGGGGGGGGGGGGGGGGGGGGGGGGGGGGGGGGGGGGGGGGGGGGGGGGGGGGGGGGGGGGGGGGGGGGGGGGGGGGGGGGGGGGGGGG
Molecule: long non-coding RNA, 4638 nt
Organism: Ficedula albicollis (Collared flycatcher)
Lineage: Eukaryota; Metazoa; Chordata; Aves; Passeriformes; Muscicapidae
Source: Ensembl